RNAcentral lists this transfer RNA (67 nucleotides) under Urechis caupo. Its description in RNAcentral is "tRNA-Ser". RNAcentral also lists the same sequence under 1 other name. Lineage: Eukaryota; Metazoa; Annelida; Polychaeta; Xenopneusta; Urechidae. The record is from RNAcentral.
AGGCUUUUGUUACGGUAACAUAUGUCCUUGAACGCCAUAAUUAGAUGUUCGACUCAUCUAAAGCCUU